RNAcentral lists this ribosomal RNA (802 nucleotides) under uncultured Solirubrobacter sp. RNAcentral describes it as "bacterial SSU rRNA". It matches the Rfam family "Bacterial small subunit ribosomal RNA", at positions 8 to 796 of the family's 1533-position model. Lineage: Bacteria; Bacillati; Actinomycetota; Thermoleophilia; Solirubrobacterales; Solirubrobacteraceae. The record is from RNAcentral.
AGAGUUUGAUCAUGGCUCAGGACGAACGCUGGCGGCGUGCUUAACACAUGCAAGUGGAGCGACGAACCAGGCUUAGGCCUGGGGCAGAGCCGCGAACGGGUGAGUAACACGUGGGUAACCUACCCCGAUGACCGGGACAACCCGAGGAAACUCGGGCUAAUACCGGAUGAGCUCCUCUCUCGUGAGGGAGAGGAGGAAAGAUAGCUUCGGCCUUCGCAUCGGGACGGGCCCGCGGCGCAUUAGCUUGUUGGUGGGGUAACGGCCUACCAAGGCGACGAUGCGUAGCUGGUCUGAGAGGACGAUCAGCCACACUGGGACUGAGACACGGCCCAGACUCCUACGGGAGGCAGCAGUGGGGAAUCUUGCGCAAUGCGCGAAAGCGUGACGCAGCAACGCCGCGUGGGGGAAGAAGGCCUUCGGGUUGUAAACCCCUUUCAGUUGGGACGAAGCUUCGCCGGUUAAUAGCCGGCUGGAGUGACUGUACCUUCACAAGAAGCCCCGGCUAACUACGUGCCAGCAGCCGCGGUAAUACGUAGGGGGCUAGCGUUGUCCGGAUUUACUGGGCGUAAAGCGUGCGCAGGCGUCCUGCCAAGUCUCCGGUGAAAUCCCCCGGCUCAACUGGGGAACGGUCGGAGAAACUGGCAGGAUCGAGUAUGACAGAGGCAGACGGAAUUCCUGGUGUAGCGGUAAAAUGCGUUGAUAUCAGGAGGAACACCGAUGGCGAAGGCAGUCUGCUGGGUCAUCACUGACGCUCAGGCACGAAAGCGUGGGUAGCGAACGGGAUUAGAUACCCCAGUAGUCC